This 266-nucleotide long non-coding RNA is filed under the name Cyanistes caeruleus (blue tit). RNAcentral describes it as "lncRNA (ENSCCEG00000008939.1)". Lineage: Eukaryota; Metazoa; Chordata; Aves; Passeriformes; Paridae. The record is from RNAcentral.
UUUACAUGCACCUACACAAAUAUGCAGAUAAGGGAAAAUCAAAGGAUUUUGCCUUGCACGUUAACAGAAGCCUUACACAGGGCACUUGGAGUGCAGAAGGAGUAUGCCCUGAAUGCCAGCCAAAUGAAAGAAGACAGCUGAGGGGAAUUCCAGCUGUUAUGGGGAAUGAUGCUGCAGAAGGACUGCUUAGUUUGGAGCAUUUCUAUUCCAGUGGUGCAAUGACAAGUAAAUCAACAGGUUUCAACAAUCUGUAUUUGUUAGUCUAG